This 930-nucleotide long non-coding RNA is filed under the name Malus domestica (apple). RNAcentral describes it as "long non-coding RNA (MDOM_LNC012672)". Lineage: Eukaryota; Viridiplantae; Streptophyta; Magnoliopsida; Rosales; Rosaceae. The record is from RNAcentral.
GGAUUGUACGUCUCUAUUCUAAGUCCUAAAAGGGUGCAAAACAAAACAUGUGUGGACAAAUUUGAUAUAUAUAAAUAGUACAAAAGCAGUUAUUCACAAUGUAUUAACCCCCAAGUUUAGAAAACUUGUAUAGCAUAAUAAGUAAUAGGUUUUUCCGAAAACCCUAGCAUGCCAUAAUACCUUUCAUAAAACAUAUAUCAUAUAUAGUGUACUUAGUAGUGGUAAAUAUACAAAGGCAUAUACAUAUAUAUAAUAUUUCAUUCGCCCGAAUGCAUAUAUAACACUUCUACAUUCAUCUGAAGGUUCUACAUCACGCGCCCGUAGGCAGAUUAUUCGCCUGUAGGCAGUAUCAACUGCCCGGAGGCACUACAUCUCCCGGCUGAAGUCAAUAUAAAUAUCUUCUGGUCAAACGGUCAAAGUCAAAGUCAACGGUCAACAGGUUGGUCAAACGGGUCUGGGUCAAAUGGGUUGGGUUGGAUCCAGUUAGGGUUAGGUUAAUAGGUUAAGGCCUAGGCUAAUGGGUUGUUAUGCCCAAAGGUUUAGGCUUAGGCUAAAAGGGUUUUGAGUUUCUGGGUUCUAAUUUAAAAUGGGUUAGGCUUGGAUUUGGGUUGGUUACUUGGCCCAAAGGUUUAGGCCGGUUCAUUGGGUUGGCCUAGCAACUAGGUUGGGCUCCUAAUUGGGCUGUGGGUUGUAAUGGCCCAAUUGUUUGGCGGGUCGCUGGAACCAUGAAGGAGAAGGCCGGAGAAGUCGUUGAGAAUUCUCAAGCUCCGAUGGAGCUCAAAACAUAACCAUUUUUAGCAUAUAAAUUUAUCAAAAUGAAGCUAAGUAGAAGGAGAAUGAAGAUUUACCAACACGAGGGCAAGCCGUGGUCGAAAAGCAGCUGGAAAACCUUUGUAACUCGUGGCCCAGUCAUCGGGAAACUAGGAAAUG